This 218-nucleotide ribosomal RNA is filed under the name Streptococcus suis. RNAcentral describes it as "partial 23S ribosomal RNA". It matches the Rfam family "Bacterial large subunit ribosomal RNA", at positions 253 to 509 of the family's 2925-position model. Lineage: Bacteria; Bacillati; Bacillota; Bacilli; Lactobacillales; Streptococcaceae. The record is from RNAcentral.
GCGAACGGGGAGGAGCCCAGAGCCUGAAUCAGUGUGUGUGUUAGUGGAAGCGUCUGGAAAGGCGCGCGAUACAGGGUGACAGCCCCGUACACAAAAAUGCACAUACUGUGAGCUCGAUGAGUAGGGCGGGACACGUGGUAUCCUGUCUGAAUAUGGGGGGACCAUCCUCCAAGGCUAAAUACUCCUGACUGACCGAUAGUGAACCAGUACCGUGAGGG